Molecule: long non-coding RNA, 221 nt
Filed under: Elaeis guineensis (African oil palm)
Lineage: Eukaryota; Viridiplantae; Streptophyta; Magnoliopsida; Arecales; Arecaceae
Description: long non-coding RNA (EGUI_LNC003407)
Source: RNAcentral
UCUAAGAUUAUUGCUGUUACAAAUAGUUGAAUCAGUAAAAAGAUAUUCCAAAAUCAUCAUAGCCUUCCUAAACAAACCUCUGCAAAUAGGCCAUAUUGUAUUUUUUGACAUUCAGCUUAAAAAAUAGAAAUCAAAACUCAAAAGAAUACCAAACAGAAUAUAAAACUAAUGGGAGGAAAAAAAUAAAAAAAUAUACCUUGAAAGGAUUAAGGAAGCACGGA